RNAcentral lists this ribosomal RNA (234 nucleotides) under uncultured bacterium. Its description in RNAcentral is "partial 16S ribosomal RNA". It matches the Rfam family "Bacterial small subunit ribosomal RNA", at positions 96 to 334 of the family's 1533-position model. The record is from RNAcentral.
CGGCGAACGGGUGAGUAACGCGUGGAUUAUCUGCCCUGAGGUGGGGGAUAACCAGGGGAAACUCUGGCUAAUACCGCAUAUGACCGUGAGGUCAAAGGGGGGUCGCAAGAUCUCUCGCCAUAGGAGGAGUCCGCGUACGAUUAGCUAGUUGGUAGGGUAAUGGCCUACCAAGGCGACGAUCGUUAGCCGGCCUGAGAGGGUGAUCGGCCACACUGGAACUGAGACACGGUCCAG